UACAGGGGGGGCAAGCGUUGUUCGGAAUUACUGGGCGUAAAGGGCUCGUAGGCGGCCAACUAAGUCCGACGUGAAAUCCCAAGGCUUAACCUUGGAACUGCGUCGGAUACUGGUUGGCUUGAAUUCGGGAGAGGGAUGCAGAAUUCCAGGUGUAGCGGUGAAAUGCGUAGAUAUCUGGAGGAAUACCAGUGGCGAAGGCGGCUUACUGGCUCAUUCCUGACGCUGAGGAGCGAAAGCGUGGGGAGCAAACGGG
RNAcentral lists this ribosomal RNA (253 nucleotides) under uncultured bacterium. RNAcentral describes it as "partial 16S ribosomal RNA". It matches the Rfam family "Bacterial small subunit ribosomal RNA", at positions 524 to 776 of the family's 1533-position model. The record is from RNAcentral.